Molecule: small nuclear RNA, 149 nt
Filed under: Paramormyrops kingsleyae
Lineage: Eukaryota; Metazoa; Chordata; Actinopteri; Osteoglossiformes; Mormyridae
Description: U1 spliceosomal RNA (ENSPKIG00000006295.1)
Rfam family: U1 spliceosomal RNA
About the family: U1 is a small nuclear RNA (snRNA) component of the spliceosome (involved in pre-mRNA splicing). Its 5' end forms complementary base pairs with the 5' splice junction, thus defining the 5' donor site of an intron.
Source: RNAcentral
CAGCCUAACUGGAGGGGGGACAGCAGGAUCACGAUGGCGCUUCACUCAGGGUAAGGCUUCACUAUUGCACUGCACUGACCGCUGCGAAUUCCCCAAAUGUGGGAAUCUUCACUGCAUAAUUUCUGGUAAUGCAAUUUUUUACAUUUGUC